CUGGUGUCAAGACUGAUGCAAGGACUUCCCUGGUGGUCCAGUGGUUAGGACUCCACGCUUCCACUACAGGACGUGUGGGUUCGAUCCCUGGUCGGGGAACUAAGAUCCCACAUGCUGCGUGGCAAAAAAAAGAAAAAAAGCCUGCUGCCAAUGGGUGGAUUUAGAAGGCACUUGAUUUAAAUGUUAACCUCAGCGAUGGGGCAAAACUCCGGAGGCAUAUGGGUGGGAUGCAUCAAAACUAAACUCGGGACUUUUCGUUCUGAGGGCUCUUUAUGUAGUUUGAGUAGAUGUGAAUAGCUUUCCAGAAGUUCACGGAUGGUAGACUUGCCUUCCUGUCUCGCAAGCAUUUCCUCCAAAGGCACCUAGCACAAGUUUCAAAAAUUUCCUCUCCAAAGACUCUUCCCUUUGGAACUUUCAGGUCACACUUGGAAAAGCAAAUGACAGGCGGUUUGCAUUUCCCUUCCCAGGCACAGUUUUAAAAAAAGAAGAAAGGUUACCAAGUAAUGAAAACCAGCAUUAUUUUGAAAAAUCGGGUCUUGAUCACGUCUCCCAUCCGCCUCUCGUUCUCCGUGUAAACUCCUUGACUUCCUUUUAGUAAAGAGGCCACUGUAAAGAGCAGAGGGGAACAAACAGCACGUCAUUUCGUUAUUUACGUUUCCCGCGUGCAAAGGAAGGGCAGUAAAGCAGGUGGGAGCUCCGAAGCACAGCCAGGAGAGCGUGACGCCCAGCAAGACCGGGCCGUGCUUUCCUCACCACCUCCACGUGGGACUUCUCGGAGACUCACGGGAAUAUAGAGUUUUUAAACGUUUACUAUGAAAUCACUUUAGAUUUACACAAGAUUUGCAAAGACAGUACCGAGAGUUCCCGUCUACCUACACCCAGCUGUCCCCAGAGUUAACAUCUUACACAACCAUAGUCACAUUGGCCACCGUGAAGAAAUCAACACUGGUACAGCGCUGUUAACUACGCUCUGGAUUUUAUCUGGGUUUUACUAGUUCGGGAACUAUAUUUGUUUACGGUUUAUAUUUUUUACUAUAAAAAUAAUGCAUGCUCACUAUUUUAAAAUGUUGAAAGAUUUGACAUUUAUCCUUGUAGACAAGUUGGAAAAUAUAAGAAAGUUUAGAAAAGAAUUGAUAACCCAUAGUUCACCCAGAGACAACCAUCAUUAGCAUCUUAGUGUAUCUCCUUCCAGUCUUUUUUCUGUAAGUCAUUUUCAUUUGUUUGAUGUAAUCAAAUCACUAUUUUUUAAUGCAAUUUUGUUUAAAAAAAAAGCUAUAUUUAAUAGACUAGUUUUUUGGGGGGAGGGGUUUUUUGUUUUUAAUUUUUCUUGGCGUAGAGUUGAUUUACAAUGUUGUGUUAGUUUCAUGUGUACAGCACACUAGUUUUAAAUGCAGAUAUGCAAAGAGAGAUCCAAAGAGCUGCAGUGAUUUUUCUCUCCCUAGUGGUAGAGCACUUCACUUAGGUUAAAGUUCUACAACCCACAGCUGAUCAUCAAGUGACCUUUCUGUUAAGGUGUGUUUCUUUCUUCUCAUUCUGCCCGUGAGGGACCCACAGGGCGGCAUGAGGGGGCCUGGAGACUUGCCUCGGGGCACGUUUCCUUGAGGAUGGGAUGGGGGCUGGAAUGCAGGUCCCCUGCCUUGGCCCGGAGGUCUGUCCAGUGCAUUCUGCUGACUCACAAGAUCCCUCUCACCCAGUUCUUCCUGAUGCAUUUGACUCACUUCCUGUGCUCUCCUUCCUGUUUACUGCCCAAGUGGGAGAAGACACAGGCCCAGACAUCACGGGGAGGGCCCAGGCUCCCAGGACGGCUCAGUCCACAUCCCUCCCUUCCCCUCGGCUGCCCUUUCCUUUCCUGAUCCCGUCUCCCCUCCGCAGUUUUCCAAGGCCACUCGGGUCCUCUGGGGCACGCCAAUGGCAGACUCAGAAUGAGCCCAGACAGAAGUGAAACGUCCCCUGGUCCCGGCUUUGAGCUAGCAGAUGUUGGCCAAGGACCCGGACAGCCCAUAAUUGAGUAGGCUCGCUCCCUCUCGUUUAUUAAACCCCCUCACUUUCCCCAGCUGUAUUGUGCUCCUGUCUGGAGGAUGACAAAUGAGGUCCGUGGUCCUAGAUAAUGAUCAGAGCCCGUGGCCUGGGGCCGUAGCCUCGGCCUCGCCCCCAGAGCACUUCCCUGGGUUUACCUGCAGUCACUGUCUUUCGGAACAGGAUGGGGUUGGCCACAAGGACGAGCAGCAGAGGCAAGUAUGUGGUGACAUAGUGGGGGAUGGCGUGCUCCAGACCCCUCUCACACCUGAGGGAGGAAAGCCGGGUCAUUCUCCAAAAAAACCGGGGCUUUGCCUGAGAUACGCCGACUUAUCUGCAAGUCGAGAUAAGAGGACCAGAUCGAAGGAAACACACAGAUCGACUUCUGACUGUGCCCGAAGGAAACCUGACUCAUAUCUCACGUCUGCGGACAAGCGAUAAAUCACAGAAGAAGGAGGAUCAGUCAUGGUUCUGUGUGUCUCGUAAAUCAGGGAGCUUUUAAAGUUCCCUGCUGGGAAAAGGUGAAGAGGGGAAAAGGCUCUCUGGGGUGGUGGAUCCCCCCCCAACUCCCCCACUGGGUCUCUCAAACAAGUGGGUCUCCCCCUACUUGUCUUUCAAACAAGACAAAGGCGUUCUACGAACCUGCUGGGUUUUCAGCACUUACUACAUAUGUGCUAAGCCUGGCUGACAUCACGCAUAGGAUCCAAGCUCUGUCCUCGACCAACUCAAAAUACCCAAGCCUCACACUGCACAGGAUAUCUGUUGUCAUGGUGACAGGUAAUCAUUUCAGGGGUUCUUUUCGGGGAGGUGGACCCGGAUUUCUACUGAUGGGUCUUGAGAAUCAUCCAUCACCACAGGACACGGUGGGGUGCCACACACAGGUAUGCUACCAAGGCCGGGGCUAUCAGUUAACAAAUACAUAGUGUAGAGGAAAAUGGCAAAGAGGAAGAGAGAAUCCAAAGCAGAGGGGAUGUUGCCCAGGCCCGACCCCAGACGGGGUGGAAAAGCAGAGGAGGAAACAGCUCCUGUGGCCACGGAAGGUGGAGUGAUAAAAAUGCUACUGCUCUCGUUUUCAUAUGUAUGAAGGGCUCACACCAGAGGGGAAAGUGGCUGAAAGUGCAUGGAAACAGGUAAGAAAAAUGCAGUGCCCAUCUUUGUUGCCUUAAGGAUGACAGUACCACCUGAGGAUGGUGCCUUCUUUUUGUUUUUUUGUUUGCGUGUUUUGUUUUUUACCCUGAAAGCCGUAUUUUAUUGGAGUGUGGUUGACUUACAAUGUUGUGUUGCUACCUUCUUUUAUUUUAUUAUUAUUAUUAUUUUUGCUACCUCCUUUUUAACAGAAGCUUUCCUCUUCAGCUGUGAAAGCUAAACUGUGGUCUGGAAGGGCUUGAGGGGAGAAAGGGAAACAAGAGGGGGAAGAGAUGAGAUUCGGGUGCCUGUACUGAACGUAAGGAACAAACGAGAGAGGGUGGGAGCCUGCAGAGCGCCAAGGGCUCUGGGUCGUCGUGGGCUCUGAGGAUGGAUAUGAGGAAGGAUGGAGAUGCUUCAGGGGGGCGGCCUCGUGGAGACCGCGGGGCACCUUGGCGUUCCUGAGUGUCCUUGCAGCAAUGGCUCCCUCGCACUCAGACGCAACGUCCCCAGGAUCUCACAGGUGGAGGCCAGAGAUAAAAACUCCCUUUCCAGUUAAGCGCAUCCCUCUGUAACAGCUGCUAACUCUGUAUUUGUCCUUUUAGGGUUCCUGGAGAGAGUGGGCUGUUUGGAGGGAUCUACACAGAGGCCACAAAGCAACACCAAUGUGGAGACAUCUGAGUGAGUGGCUACAAGAAAUCGAAAAAGAAGGGGCAGAAGCGGUCUACACCACAGGGGGCACCCGGAGAAAUCCUCGAUAUUUCGAUUGUGCCUUCAGCCUUUUAUAAAAAUGAGCUGCACAGAUGUUUCUCGGUGGAGGGGUCAGCUGAAAGGUUGUGAUCAGCUGUGUCUGCCGUACAGAGAUGCAGCACUCAGCGGUGUCUCCAACCUUCCCUCAGGCAACAAACUAGGGCAGAAGCCAGCCGGCUUGCUCUGAAUACCUCAGUCCCGCCGAUCUCCGGAUCACCAGCUGGUUUUGAUUGUGGAUGGAUCUAAGAAGGCGGUGGGCCACACGUCUGUCCCGUUCACAGCUGAGAUGUCGUCCACGAAACUCGGGAACCCUAACCACACCGCAGACCGGACUGUGAUACCUAAGGGAGAAUCAGGUGAUGCUCUGUAUCUGCUCCUAAUGCAAAUCUAAAGGUGACUUGUUGACUGUAAAAAUGAUGGAUGGGGCUUCCCUGGUGGCGCAGUGGUUG
Molecule: long non-coding RNA, 4340 nt
Organism: Delphinapterus leucas (beluga whale)
Lineage: Eukaryota; Metazoa; Chordata; Mammalia; Artiodactyla; Monodontidae
Source: RefSeq, a predicted model, not a curated record